AUAUAUACACCCUUCCCGUCGCCGUCCGUUCCGCUGCGGUGUCGACCAGAAGUCGAGAGAGAGACAGAGAGAGAGAGGCGAGUGGAUGGAGGAGAGGAGGGCGAGAGCGGUGGAGAAUAGAUGGGUGGAUGGAUAGGGUUUAGCUCUCCACCGGUCGUCUCCUCCGCUCGCUCUUCUCUUUCUCUUGUGGUCGUUAUAUUUUGGAUUGAUGCAAGAUUUUCUAGGGUUUUGUUGUUUAUUGUGGUCGCCGCCGCCUCUGAUUCGCUUGGUGCAGGUCGGGAACGGCUCCAUUUUUGGCCCGCCGGCGAGCUGGAUCCCGCCUUGCAUCAACUGAAUCGGAGCCGGAACGCGACGAUCGAUGCUCCGGAUGCUCCCGCUGCACCGCAUCCCGUGUGUUCUCUGCCGAAAGGUUGGAUCUUUGCUUUUGUUUCGAUCUGAUUUCUCUUUCUUAUCGAUCGGAUGGACUGGUGGGCUGUCUUCCCCUUAACCAUCCGUUAAAGAUGGCAACUUCAUGCUUAAAUAUGUGAUUUUUAUGGAAUUGAUGGAUUCGAAGAUUUCGAUUCUUUUAUUGCAAACACUUACACUUGAGCGACUGGAUGUGGGCUUAACGUGUUCGCCUAAAUUGCUUGAAAUAGCUUGCCGGACGAUGGAUUAUAAAGACCCACUUGGGGGCUAGAUUUCCUGCCGUAAAGGUCGGGUCUUUGUUUUCACUCCUUAUGGGAUUUCUGUGCGUCGGGCUUAUUGGAUUGGUUCCCUCGUUUAUUCGUUUCUGAUUCAGAGUUUUUCCUCACAUGGUGUCUUUGUUUCAUGAUCUGCGCUUUUUGUUGGAUUAGCUGAUUCGAUGAACUGGUUUUUGUUCUUUACUUGCAUUUAAACUUUGUGAAAUAACUGGAUAUGGAUUUCCUCGUUCUAAACUAAUUGAUUAAACUUGCUUGGAGAAUCAUAAGUUCAUGGAGUAUUAAAUACUGGCUCGUAUGCUUGAUUCCUCACCUUAAAGUUCAGAUCUUUGCUUUCUCAUGUUAUGGGAUAGAAUUCCUUUCUUUCGUUGUGUUUCCACAUUCAGAUUGAUUGAAUGACUUGGAUUUUCCAAUUUCUUGUUUUGUUAUGUCAGUUUUACCUUGUUGAUCUGUGACAUAUGGUACCUUUAUUGCUUGAAAUGUGGUGUUUAUUGAUUUGACGGAUCGAGUUUGGGUUUCUUUGUUGCUGCUGGUUUUGGUUCCUUCGUUGCAAAACAGUUGGCCCUUGCAAUACUUGAAUAGCAAUUCUUUUUUUUUUUUUUUUUUUUGUGGUAUGAUGAUAUAAGAUGCAUUAAACAACCAGGUUCUGUCUGCAUGGUGGGCACAGAGCGAACUAUUCUUUCGCCUUUUGCUGAAGAAUAGCAAACGUGAUUUGAACAACUGACUAUUGUUAUUCAAAGCCAAGAGCUGGCUUUACACUGACCAAUCAAGAAAGGCAUUAGACUAUCGUCUUCUUGGAACAUUGACAGAGGAUUGUUUUAUUACGUGGAUUCCUUUUUUUUUUGGGCGGGGGUGGGUGGUGGUAGAUAGCAGAAAUUUUUUGAUGGUUCGUUGUGAGAUUCUUUUUGCUGGACAUGGAUUACUGCUAUUUAGGUAACUUCUUCAGCAGCUAUCAUUUAUCUACUUGUUUUGUCUUCUUUCCAUCUUUUAAUAUUUGCUGCCAAUUGGGAUGAUCUCAAAUACCUCAGAUGGCUGCUCUAGCUAUCUAUGUAUGUUAAUCUACCCAGCUUAAAUAAUAUGUGCCUUUAAUUAUUCUUUUUAAAAUGUCCUUCUAUGUUUAAUUUAUUUGAAAUACUAAAAACAUCGUUUAAAAUCUUUUUAUGUCAAGAUCUAUCAGUGUAAAAGUUUGUGGUGCAAGAAGUCCAGUAGAGAACAGAUGGGGCUUACUAAUGUUGCUUAGCUUAAAGAUGGAAAGCAGUCAAUAGUUGGUCCUAUUUUGCCUACUAAUUCUUAAUACAUGUUUGAUCUUAUUUGCUUGUCGUGACAAAUGGGUAACUAGAAAUAAAAAAGGGUGUCCCCAUGCAUGAAGCUCCCACCAUUGUGGAGUUUGGGGAGGAUUGGAUGUCUUCAGCCUUACCCUGGCAUGUGAUAAGGCUGUUUCUAUAUUUUAAAUUUGUGACAACAAGGUUACAAUGGAGCAACCUUACCAUUGCACCAACACUGACCCUCGAACUGAAGAAAAUAGAACUUGAAAAUAGCUUAUCCAUUGAAAGCUUUGACAAUGAGUGCAGAAGUAACAACAAGAUUAUGCUGAAUGCCUUGGAUAGUUGGACAGAAGGAUUACUAAGCUGGAGGCUUGAACUACUACAACACGAGAAGUAACAACAAGAUUAUACUGAAUGCCUUGGAUAGUUGGACAGAAGGAUUACUAAGCUGGAGGCUUGAACUACUACAACACGAGGUAGGUAGCCUUCUCUGUCUUCUUUUGCUGUAAUAUCUAAAUAAAUUUGGAUGCAUAUGGGCUUGGUGCAUCCAUAUGAUCUGUUUGUUCCUCCACUCUAUCAGCUUUUUUGAUGAGGCUGAAAUAUAUUAAAUUGGUGUAAGUUGAGACCUUUUUUUGUACCACUGUCUUGAAAUAAAGAGUCUUGAACUUAACAAUCUUUUCUCCUGGAUGUUUAGGCCGCAAAUAUAUUAAUCGAAAUAUUAAUCUCUGCCAAACCUCUUAAUCUCUGCUUUAAGCUGUUGUUGCUUAACACACUUUCAAUUUGCAUGGAGGAUACAGCAUUUCUUUAAUCAUUCCUUGACGUGGCAUGAUGAGAUGAUAUCGUAAUUCCUGUAUCUAUGAUAUAUCUGUGAUAUGAAUUAUCAAUUAUUAGUUACUAAAAUAAUGGAUAUUAACAUAUUAAAAUUGUGGAUAUUAGAAUUUCAAGAUGUUUGCUUGUUGUCUAACUUUAUAUGUUACAACUUCUAGAAUUGUUUCAUGUUGGCUAGAGCGACAUAAGUCUCUUUUCUACAUACAUAACUCUCUUCCAGCACGCCUGUUAGACUUUGGGACCUCGCAUGGCACACAUAGAGAGGAUUAACUUAAAGAAAGAAAAAGCUAAAGAAGUCCAUGUGCGCUGGCUUUCCAUUUCGGUCUCUCUAAAAAUAUUUCCUUUCAGAUAGUCUGUGCAAUGCGCAUGCUAGACACUAGUAAGUGAUAGUGUGAACAUCGUUUAUUUUGGCCCCUACCUUUAUGGACGGUAGUUUUCAUUAGCAAGGUGUAGCAAAAUACAGGGGAUGAAUAUCAUACUAACCCGGUGUUGAACUCUCUGUCUCUGAACAUAAUAAACAUUGCAAAGAAAAUGGUGACGAGAUUUCAUGUACAAAGAAACAUAAGCCUCCUUCCAGUUAACUUUAUUCUUUCCCUUAAGCUUUUCAAGCUAUACUGCAAGCUCCUGAAGAAAAUGUUUCAAGAAACGCAUGAUUGCAGCUAACCGAACAGAUGUAGCAAAAAGGUUAUGUCUUUCCUUAGUUCUUCACAUUUUAUUAGCGUGAAUGCUCACACCUUCCUCAUUUGUCAUUUGCCAUUUGCCAUGGAAGAAAACAUCUUCCUUUUCUUGGUCAUGUUGGAUUUUUCAGUAUUCUAGACUUGAGCUGCUUGCCUUUUUCCUUCCUGGCUUUUGUAUUAGCUAGUCCAUUGCCAUGGUUAUCUACUUGUACUGAUGUAAUGGAAAAGCGUGGAGCUGGCACCUUUGAAGCCUGAAGCCUUAUCAUGGGUGCAUAUCAAAAAAGAAACAGGAUGAUGAUUAGUAAUAAUGAUAAUUAGUAGAAGAAUAAGAACAACGCUGAAGACAACGACAACAGCAACAAUAGGCCCAUUGCAUCCGCAUCACAUGUGCUAGGUUCUAGUUUAAUGACUCUUUUCCCCCUAUCAUAUUUUGCUACAGAUCUCUGUUACAUGCAACUUGUUCUUUUACAUUGGCUAAGCGCAUGGUUUGUUAAUGACAUUCCUACUGUUUCGUACUAUAAUCUACCCCCACUUUAGUGGUUUUAAGAAAUGGAUGCCUAUUUCCUUUAGUAGCAGGAUAUGGUAAUAAGGUGUGAGGCAUAUUCUGGUUCUUAAUGUUAAAUUCACUGGUUAUGGAAUUUUGCACCAUCAUAUCCGGUGACUGGAGAGAUUUUGAGAUGCUCGUUGUUUCAGCGGGCGUGUUCUAAGGUAAUUUGAAAUGGUAACUGUUUCCAGCUUCUUUCUUGUGAUUUAUUUAUUUAUUUAACGCAGUUAUCCAGAUGCAAAUCUUCGGAUUCCGGUAGAUCGGAAGCUUAUCGUGCCGUCACAUGCGGAUGCUGCUGUAUGCAAAGGUAAAACACGCUAUGAGAGUUGGAAGGGGUAGCACCAUGUCAUGAUAUAAAAUGCACAUAUUUUGCAGCUUGUUAUAAUGAUUCUGUAUUUGAGGACUAAGAAGUCAGCACAAGGGAAUCCGACACAUUGUAAAUAGAUUAUUGAGGUAUCGGAUCGUGCUAAGUCGAAUUAUAAAAAUAUUGUAAAUAGAUUUUUGAGGUAGAAAUCAUGUUAUUCCUUUUCAAAAAAA
Elaeis guineensis (African oil palm) is the source of this 4528-nucleotide non-coding RNA. The record is from RefSeq and is a predicted model, not a curated record. NCBI's taxonomy places the organism in Eukaryota, Viridiplantae, Streptophyta, Magnoliopsida, Arecales, Arecaceae.